GUUUCCCCCAGGUGUGGAGAUGCUUGUGUCUGGGACCUCCUGCCAUUUCUCAGGACACCAUCCUGCUCCUAGCUGGGAGAUUCAGCAUCCUCAUGAAUGCAGGGCCCAAGGCCACCAACUGUUCCACCUGCUGUCAGCCAGGCCUGUUGCCCCAGCCCUAUACCCACAGCUCACCCAGCAGGGACUGGAGUGUGCUGCUGCACUGCUGGAGCCGGUCGCCCGGGUCGGAGGUUGGGAAGAAGACAGCCGCUGGCAGGCCGCUGGUUGGGGGGUCCAGCCGGAAGCCCACAGCGGUGAGGAGGGCCUGCCAGCCAGGGAUGCCACCCACUUUGUUCUCCACACUCUGCUGGGACGUGUACAUGGCAUUGCGCUGCCCAUUCUGGAUGCGCUGCAGGGACUUCUCCACCUGGGGGGGAAUUGGGGUAAACACUGGGAUGCUGGAGCUCAGGCAUCCCAGACAGGAGGAGUGUGUACUCACACCAGCCAGGAGGAAACAAGCCUGCCUGAGAGGACAGAGGAUCAGCCCUGGCUGUCCCUCGGGAGCGGGGGGCCUCCAAGGCACACUGCCCACUGGGUCAAGGAGUAUCCAGGAGGAGUUAGAAGCAUGACCCAUCCGCCUGGCACCAGCACCUGGGGCUGCCAGGCAGCCACCCCUGCAGCUGUGUUGACAGGGCCUGGCAGAGGGACUGACCCACCUUUGGAAAAUGACACCAGCAAUAUCAGGAUGUGUCAACUGGAUUUAUGUUAAGAAAAUAGGAUUUUUGGCGUUCCUCUGUUUCCCAAAGUUUGAGACACUUUCAGACACUCUGCUUUGCGGUUGUGGCCGAUGUUACCCAUGGGUGGGACUUUUGCUUUGCUCUAGAUUUUUGUAAUACCCUGGGGAGUUUCAGGGGCCAAUGCUGAGAGAAGACCACAGGCUGACGCAUCAUGAGACCCUCUGGGCAGGUCCACUAAGAGCAUGUAUUCUAGAACAUGCAAGGCCUGAAGCUUCACAAGAUACUCAGUACACUCCUUACAGAUCCUCUCAAAUGUGGACCGGGUGGUGUCAUCGCACCACCAUCAUCCCCUUGUUACCCCUGAGAACACAGCUUCAGAGAGGGUAAGUAACCUAUCUCAGGCCACACAGCCAGGACAGGGAGCUAGAUCGAUCCUAAGUCUUUCUACCACACACUCCUUUCCACAGUCAUGGGUUAAAUGAGGGUGCCAUGGAAUGGGUCAUCCAGUGUACACUGACAUCAGGAGGAGUUUCACAUUCAUACUCUCAUGGCAAAUGGUUCUGUUGCUCCAUGGUCCAAAGAUGAUCUUAAUAGUAGGAAAAACUCAUUUGGUAGAAAAAAGACUCAGCACACAGGCUCUCUCCCUGAGUCUUCUAUGGCUGGCCCUGCCCUGCCUUCCCCUCCCCAACCCCACUUGCAGAAUAAAGUCGGGGGGCUGUGAGGACUGAGCCCCAGGCCUUGACAGGCACCCGCAGCCGGCCGAACUCCCACCUGCCCAGUUGGAGGGGUGCGAGAAGGCCUUGCUGCUCUGCACCACCUUCAUGGCCUCCCCCAAGGCGGCGCUGGCUUUCAGGCCGUUCAGCAGGGAUGAGUAGAAGGCAUGGAUGAACAUCUUAGAAGCAGCCACUGGCACAGGCCACAGAGACACGAGGACACACUGAGCGCCGGCAGCCAGGAAGGCCCUUGUCAGCGCGAUGACCCCAUCGGCUGUGACUUUGCUGUUGGACUCCUGGGAGGAGCCAAGCACCACCAGCUUCACAGGCAGCUGCAGGUCCAGGACGUCGGCGGCGGUGCCUAACUUACUGAGAAUCAUGCCUGCUGUGAUGCGCCCUUGAAAAUCAUCAGGACUGGAUGGUAGGGGUCCUGAGAGGAUUGGGGGAGGAGGCCCUGAUAUGACAGAGUGGACAGAGGCUGUGGAACCCAGGAUGGCCAGCCUGCUCCACAAUCCUCAUCCCUACAGACCUUCCUGUGUGGCUCCUAAAUAAGAGGAAACCCACUCCUGAUAAGUCAGGAGCUUUGAAGAGUGAUUUUGUUUAAAUGGUGCAAACAAGCAAGCCAAUCUUGGGGAGACAGGGCUAAACUAAGUCCUUUAAGAAGCUCUACAUACUGACAAGAUUCUAGUUCCCUUCCACCUUAUAUGCUGCAAAGUAAAAAGUAUCACUGAAUGAGAAAAUCAGCAUAAAGAAGCCCAAUAAUGUCUGCCUGAGUUUCCCCUAUGAUGACUUUUGGUACUUUUUGGGGAAACAUUAAGUAUGAAGUUAUUUCAAAAUAAUUUUUUGGUGCCUCUGCUUGGUGAUGCCUUAAACUCUGGGUAAGAGAAACACCAGGUGCCUGUCAGGAGAUGGCCUCUUCCAGGUUUCUAGUUAGGCUACAAACAGCUAGCUGGCUGUUGUCAUCAAAAUAAAAGCUUUCUGAAGGUGGAGGCAUCUGAUACCCAGAGUGCUGCUAUCAGCCGGCACGGUGGGCCGCUGGGUGGCAGGAGCGUCAAGAAGGCCAGCUCGCUUCCUAUCUGGGAUUCAGAAUCAGCCAUGGAAACUUGAGAGACCUAGAGAAAAUAACUUCUUUCACUUUGAACUGAUUCUUUGCUUCAUAAGAAAAGUAUUAUCCAGCCACAAAAAUGGUCAAAAUUCAGAUCUACAAAAACCUGUCAGGCAGAAACUGACCCCACUUAGGCCACGCCAAUGAGCAAGUCAUCAAAGCAGCCAAGACAGGUCCUGUGGGGGCCACCCAUGCACAGGGCCCAGCCUAGGUUCCUAACCCCGCCUAUGCUUUCCACCACCGUAAAGAGGCCCAUCUAGGUAAGACCUGUCCUGCCUGCCAUGGGGUAUUAGGGCAGAUGGGGUCUGAGGGCUCUGAGAGCAGCUGGCAGCUCAAGGGCAUCCGGAGUUGGAGGAUGGAGCAAUCCAGGCCCUUGUGGUAAAGACAGUCCUGCAGCCGGGCAGGCAGGGAUUCUGCAAGUGGAGUGCAAGGCGGGUGCGGAGCCCUGUGGGACCGUGGAGGGGUCAGAGGGAAGCCAGGAUUUUGGGGUAUCUGAGAGUUUGGAGAAGGGGAAGAAGAUUAAAGCUUGUUUCAAAA
Molecule: antisense RNA, 3071 nt
Filed under: Pongo abelii (Sumatran orangutan)
Lineage: Eukaryota; Metazoa; Chordata; Mammalia; Primates; Hominidae
Rfam family: TTC28 antisense RNA 1 conserved region 3 (bases 425-604)
Source: RNAcentral